AUCGUCCAGAAAAAACUCAAAGAAAAUUGUUCAAGGCCUAAUCGUUCAACUUAUCCGACUUACGUGCGAUCGAUCAAAAUGGGACAUCUACACUUUUUAUUCUACUUGUUGUACAUCAGCAUCCUCAUGGCAAUAGGGCUCAAAUUCAGUUACGGCCACCUUUGGACUUUUUUGGAAAUACUGAUUAUAUGGAUGAUUGAUGGCCAAUUUAUUGAGGUAUCCAAUUCAAGCAACUUUGUAAUCGACGCAAUGUGCGCAUGGAACAAUCAGAAAACGACACUAACAGCCAUUUUUUAUUUUGUGCUACCCAUGUUAACAAAGCUGUACAUACUG
Molecule: long non-coding RNA, 333 nt
Organism: Adelges cooleyi (spruce gall adelgid)
Lineage: Eukaryota; Metazoa; Arthropoda; Insecta; Hemiptera; Adelgidae
Exons: 3
Source: RefSeq, a predicted model, not a curated record